This 949-nucleotide long non-coding RNA is filed under the name Citrus sinensis (sweet orange). Its description in RNAcentral is "long non-coding RNA (CSIN_LNC001488)". The record is from RNAcentral. Lineage: Eukaryota; Viridiplantae; Streptophyta; Magnoliopsida; Sapindales; Rutaceae.
UACUCCUUGCGACACUCGUAAGGUUCUACUAAAAUUUGGCUUAUUUUGCGCUUUCUCCAUGAUCUCCACUUAAUUGACACGUGGCGAAGUGGGCGUACAUCCUAAAAUGUGGACCAAAUGAUCAUCGAAUCAAUAUCCUUACCUCAUUAAAUGAUCAUAUUGGGUUUUCAAUCUUCAAUGAAUAGAGUUGGAGAACUUCAUUUGUAAUUGUAAUCAUCACUAUGCAGUCUCUAUUCAAUCAGGGAAAAUCUUCAUAGCAAAUUAGGAGCAGGAGCAGCAUAUAAUUUCCUCAUCAACAAACAAACUUCUUCAAAUUGGCAUUUAAAAAAUAAAAUGAAAUAAACAAACCUUAUAAUAAUAGGAAGCCAGGACCAUGAGCACUUAAUUACACUCAUUAAUUCCAUGUCAUGGAACAGAAGCUUUACACUUAUUCGAUAGAAUUCUUGACAUCACAGCUUUACAAGGUAAAUCAGCAAAAGAUGGAAAAAACCAGAGGGUCAACACUACGUACAAUUGUAUAGCAAAAUGAUAUGAAUUUGACAGAGUCUGAGAAGUGAGCACUGCUACUCGUUAUUUGCCAUCCAAACUGAAGUGUGCCGGCGCCUGUGCCCCCGGGCUGCUGCAGCAUGGAAGCUCAAGGAGGCUUGUGUACUUCUGAAACUGAGACCAUUAGAGACGGUGAGUGAGCGAGCGAGCGGGUGGGUGAGUGAAUGGAGAAGAUAAGGAUGGCUCUCUUUGUUUCUCUUUUGGAAAAAUAUGCAAAAGAGACACAAAAUGCAAAGCCCUGGCCACGCCUGCAGUAUAUAAAUUAUAUAUGCAUAUGCAUACGUGCUAAAAGACAUUAGAAAAGCGUGUGAUGGCAUCAUUUGGUCUGUGGCUGUCAGAAUAUUGUAUUGUAUGUAUUCUUCUGUUAUCCUAGCUACUUAUUUAUCAAGUCACUUUAUCUUUA